RNAcentral lists this ribosomal RNA (782 nucleotides) under Acaulospora brasiliensis. RNAcentral's name for it is "eukaryotic LSU rRNA". It matches the Rfam family "Eukaryotic large subunit ribosomal RNA", at positions 1 to 694 of the family's 3401-position model. The record is from RNAcentral. Lineage: Eukaryota; Fungi; Glomeromycota; Glomeromycetes; Diversisporales; Acaulosporaceae.
UACCUCAAGUCAAGUAAGAAUACCCGCUGAACUUAAGCAUAUCAAUAAGCGGAGGAAAAGAAACUAACUAGGAUUCCCUUAGUAACGGCGAGUGAACUGGGAAAAGCUCAAAUUUUAAAUCACCUCGGUGAAUUGUAAUUUGAAGAAAGUGUUUUGACUUUUCAGUUUAAUCUAAAUCCUUUGGGAUGAGGUAUCAUAGAGGGUGAGAAUCCCGUUCUUGAUUAAACCUCGGAUUGCACUAAAUUCACUUUCCAAGAGUCGAGUUGUUUGGGAUUGCAGCUCCAAAUGGGUGGUAAAUUUCACCUAAGGCUAAAUAUAUGCAAGAGACCGAUAGCGAACAAGUACCGUGAGGGAAAGAUGAAAAGUACUUUGAAAAGAGAGUUAAACAGUACGUGAAAUUGUUGAAAGGGAAACGAUUGAAGUCAGUCAUGCUAGUGAGGAAUCAACUUGGUGGUUUACUUCCUUGUGCAUUUUCUCGCUUGGCAGGUUAGCAUCAAUUUUGGUUGUCAUCAAAGAAUUGGGGGAAUGUGACUUUUCUUCGGUAAAGUGUUAUAGACCCUGAUUGAUGUGGCGACUGGGAUUGAGGUUUGCAGCGGAUGCCUCUUGUGGCUAGUCACCUGUCUUCUGACCGUCACCUCGUUUUUAACAGCUUGCUGAUGAUUGCGGGAUUUGGCGAUCUAGGAGUUAGAGUGAACAUAAAUUCGCUAAGGAUGCUGACGUAAUGGCUUUAAACGACCCGUCUUGAAACACGGACCAAGGAGUCUAACAUAUGUGCGAGUGUU